GACGAACGCUGGCGGCGUGCUUAACACAUGCAAGUCGAACGGAAAGGCCCUGCUUUUGUGGGGUGCUCGAGUGGCGAACGGGUGAGUAACACGUGAGUAACCUGCCCUUGACUUUGGGAUAACUUCAGGAAACUGGGGCUAAUACCGGAUAGGAGCUCCUGCUGCAUGGUGGGGGUUGGAAAGUUUCGGCGGUUGGGGAUGGACUCGCGGCUUAUCAGCUUGUUGGUGGGGUAGUGGCUUACCAAGGCUUUGACGGGUAGCCGGCCUGAGAGGGUGACCGGCCACAUUGGGACUGAGAUACGGCCCAGACUCCUACGGGAGGCAGCAGUGGGGAAUAUUGCACAAUGGGCGGAAGCCUGAUGCAGCAACGCCGCGUGCGGGAUGACGGCCUUCGGGUUGUAAACCGCUUUCGCCUGUGACGAAGCGUGAGUGACGGUAAUGGGUAAAGAAGCACCGGCUAACUACGUGCCAGCAGCCGCGGUGAUACGUAGGGUGCGAGCGUUGUCCGGAUUUAUUGGGCGUAAAGGGCUCGUAGGUGGUUGAUCGCGUCGGAAGUGUAAUCUUGGGGCUUAACCCUGAGCGUGCUUUCGAUACGGGUUGACUUGAGGAAGGUAGGGGAGAAUGGAAUUCCUGGUGGAGCGGUGGAAUGCGCAGAUAUCAGGAGGAACACCAGUGGCGAAGGCGGUUCUCUGGGCCUUUCCUGACGCUGAGGAGCGAAAGCGUGGGGAGCGAACAGGCUUAGAUACCCUGGUAGUCCACGCUGUAAACGGUGGGUACUAGGUGUGGGGUCCAUUCCACGGGUUCCGUGCCGUAGCUAACGCUUUAGGUACCCCGCCUGGGGAGUACGGCCGCAAGGCUAAAACUCAAAGGAAUUGACGGGGCCCCGCACAAGCGGCGGAGCAUGCGGAUUAAUUCGAUGCAACGCGUAGAACCUUACCUGGGUUUGACAUGGAUCGGGAGUGCUCAGAGAUGGGUGUGCCUCUUUUGGGGUCGGUUCACAGGUGGUGCAUGGCUGUCGUCAGCUCGUGUCGUGAGAUGUUGGGUUAAGUCCCGCAACGAGCGCAACCCUUGUUCACUGUCGCCAGCACGUUAUGGUGGGGACUCAGUGGAGACCGCCGGGGUCAACUCGGAGGAAGGUGGGGAUGACGUCAAGUCAUCAUGCCCCUUAUGUCCAGGGCUUCACGCAUGCUACAAUGGCUGGUACAGAGAGUGGCGAGCCUGUGAGGGUGAGCGAAUCUCGGAAAGCCGGUCUCAGUUCGGAUUGGGGUCUGCAACUCGACCUCAUGAAGUCGGAGUCGCUAGUAAUCGCAGAUCAGCAACGCUGCGGUGAAUACGUUCCCGGGGCU
Molecule: ribosomal RNA, 1346 nt
Filed under: uncultured bacterium
Lineage: Bacteria
Description: partial 16S ribosomal RNA
Rfam family: Bacterial small subunit ribosomal RNA
Source: RNAcentral